UGCAGUUGAUACUGUCAGUCUUGAGUACAGUAGAGGUGGGCGGAAUUCGUGGUGUAGCGGUGAAAUGCUUAGAUAUCACGAAGAACUCCGAUUGCGAAGGCAGCUCACUGGACUGCAACUGACACUGAUGCUCGAAAGUGUGGGUAUCAAACAGGAUUAGAUACCCUGGUAGUCCACACAGUAAACGAUGAAUACUCGCUGUUUGCGAUAUACAGUAAGCGGCCAAGCGAAAGCAUUAAGUAUUCCACCUGGGGAGUACGCCGGCAACGGUGAAACUCAAAGGAAUUGACGGGGGCCCGCACAAGCGGAGGAACAUGUGGUUUAAUUCGAUGAUACGCGAGGAACCUUACCCGGGCUUAAAUUGCAGUGGAAUGAUGUGGAAACAUGUCAGUGAGCAAUCACCGCUGUGAAGGUGCUGCAUGGUUGUCGUCAGCUCGUGCCGUGAGGUGUCGGCUUAAGUGCCAUAACGAGCGCAACCCUUAUCUUCAGUUACUAACAGGUCAUGCUGAGGACUCUGGAGAGACUGCCGUCGUAAGAUGUGAGGAAGGUGGGGAUGACGUCAAAUCAGCACGGCCCUUACGUCCGGGGCUACACACGUGUUACAAUGGGGGGUACAGAAGGCAGCUAGCGGGUGACCGUAUGCUAAUCCCAAAAUCCUCUCUCAGUUCGGAUCGAAGUCUGCAACCCGACUUCGUGAAGCUGGAUUCGCUAGUAAUCGCGCAUCAGCCACGGCGCGGUGAAUACGUUCCCGGGCCUUGUACACACCGCCCGUCAAGCCAUGGGAGCCGGGGGUACCUGAAGUACGUAACCGCAAGGAUCGUCCUAGGGUAAAACUGGUGACUGGGGCUAAGUCGUAACAAGGUAACCA
Molecule: ribosomal RNA, 868 nt
Filed under: uncultured bacterium
Lineage: Bacteria
Description: bacterial SSU rRNA
Rfam family: Bacterial small subunit ribosomal RNA
Source: RNAcentral